This 253-nucleotide ribosomal RNA is filed under the name uncultured bacterium. Its description in RNAcentral is "partial 16S ribosomal RNA". It matches the Rfam family "Bacterial small subunit ribosomal RNA", at positions 524 to 776 of the family's 1533-position model. The record is from RNAcentral.
CACGUAGGGGGCGAGCGUUGUCCGGAAUUACUGGGCGUAAAGAGCUCGUAGGUGGUUUGUCGCGUUGUUCGUGAAAACUCACAACUCAAUUGUGGGCGUGCGGGCGAUACGGGCAGACUGGAGUACUGCAGGGGAGACUGGAAUUCCUGGUGUAGCGGUGAAAUGCGCAGAUAUCAGGAGGAACACCGGUGGCGAAGGCGGGUCUCUGGGCCGAUACUGACGCUGAGGAGCGAAAGCGUGGGGAGCGAACAGG